This is a long non-coding RNA of Mesocricetus auratus (golden hamster), 562 nucleotides long. RefSeq lists it as uncharacterized. The transcript is spliced from 4 exons. The record is from RefSeq and is a predicted model, not a curated record. NCBI's taxonomy places the organism in Eukaryota, Metazoa, Chordata, Mammalia, Rodentia, Cricetidae.
GUGGGUUUUCCCACAACCCCUAUCCUUUGCAUGGAUGGGUUGGUAGAACUGGUUUCAUCAAUUUUCUAAUGAAGCAAUCAUCACAGGUUGAUUGUCUCCCUGGAGUCAUCAGAACUACUCAGAGCCAACUCCUUGUCUCCAACACAUUCAGCAUCCCUUCCCUGCCAAGCAGGGCAGGCUGGAAGACUCAAUACUAGUUUUGAAAAAUCUAGACCUUGUAGAUCAAAGGCUAUGGUUGCAAACCCUGUAUGUCAAGACUGAGGAUGGAGACCCUGUAGCCCAAGACUGAUGAUGCUGAUCCUGUACUGAGCAUUGAGGAUGUAUCUCAGUGUCCUCUCAAUGAAACCCAGGCUUUGCAAUGCAGCUCCCAUGACUUGGCAGCUUGCCCUGAGAAUUCCCUCUUCCUUCCAAGGCUAGAAUUACAGACAAACUAUCAACCACACAGGAAGAUGCCCACAUUCUGAAGGAUGCUUGGAAUGGCGUGAUUGCACAAUAUGCUUAUUCACCAACCUAACUUUCUAGUUGGGGAUUAUAUGAUUUGAUAUGAAUAAUCUUAAGAAAU